Molecule: ribosomal RNA, 497 nt
Filed under: uncultured bacterium
Lineage: Bacteria
Description: partial 16S ribosomal RNA
Rfam family: Bacterial small subunit ribosomal RNA
Source: RNAcentral
GAUGAACGCUGGCGGCGUGCCUAAUACAUGCAAGUCGAGCGAACGGACGAGAAGCUUGCUUUUCUGAUAUUAGCGGCGGACGGGUGAGUAACACGUGGAUAACCUACCUAUAAGACUGGGAUAACUUCGGGAAACCGGAGCUAAUACCGGAUAAUAUUUUGAACCGCAUGGUUCAAAAGUGAAAGACGGUCUUGCUGUAACUUAUAGAUGGAUCCGCGCUGCAUUAGCUAGUUGGUAAGGUAACGGUUUACCAAGGCAACGAUGCAUAGCCGACCCGAGAGGGUGGUUGGCCACACUGGAACUGAGACACGGUCCAGACUCCUGCGCGAGGCAGCAGUAGGGACUCUUACGCAAUGGGGGAAAGCCUGACAGAGCAACACCGCGUGAGUGCUGAAGGUCUUCGGAUCGUAAAACUCUGUUAUUAGUGAAAAACAUAUGUGUAAGUAACUGUGCACAUCUUGACGGUACCUAAUCAGAAAGCCACGGCUAAAUACGUG